CCGAGGACCAAUAACAUCAAUA
Molecule: non-coding RNA, 22 nt
Filed under: Arabidopsis thaliana (thale cress)
Lineage: Eukaryota; Viridiplantae; Streptophyta; Magnoliopsida; Brassicales; Brassicaceae
Source: RNAcentral